GACAGAGGAUGCAAACGUUGCUCGGAUUUACUGGGCGUAAAGCGCGCGCAGGCGGUCUCGUAAGUCAGACGUGAAAUCCCGAGGCUCAACCUCGGAAGUGCGUCUGAUACUGCGAGACUGGAGUACUGGAGAGGAGAGCGGAAUUCCCGGUGUAGAGGUGAAAUUCGUAGAUAUCGGGAGGAACACCAGUGGCGAAGGCGGCUCUCUGGACAGAUACUGACGCUGAGGCGCGAAAGCGUGGGAAGCAAACAGG
Molecule: ribosomal RNA, 253 nt
Filed under: uncultured bacterium
Lineage: Bacteria
Description: partial 16S ribosomal RNA
Rfam family: Bacterial small subunit ribosomal RNA
Source: RNAcentral